UGAGUAAUCUGCCCUUCACAUCGGAAUAACCAUUGGAAACGAUGGCUAAUACCGAAUAUGACUUCGGAUCGCAUGAUCUGAAGUGGAAAGCUCCGGCGGUGAAGGAUGAGCUCGCGGCCUAUCAGCUUGUUGGUGAGGUAAUAGCUCACCAAGGCGAUGACGGGUAGCCGGCCUGAGAGGGUGACCGGCCACACUGGGACUGAGACACGGCCCAGACUCCG
Molecule: ribosomal RNA, 221 nt
Filed under: uncultured bacterium
Lineage: Bacteria
Description: partial 16S ribosomal RNA
Rfam family: Bacterial small subunit ribosomal RNA
Source: RNAcentral